GAUGAACGCUGGCGGCGUGCCUAAUACAUGCAAGUCGAGCGAAUGGAUUAAGAGCUUGCUCUUAUGAAGUUAGCGGCGGACGGGUGAGUAACACGUGGGUAACCUGCCCAUAAGACUGGGAUAACUCCGGGAAACCGGGGCUAAUACCGGAUAACCUUUUGUACCGCAUGGUUCGAAAUUGGAAGGCGGCUUCGGCUGUCACUUAUGGAUGGACCCGCGUCGCAUUAGCUAGUUGGUGAGGUAACGGCUCACCAAGGCAACGAUGCGUAGCCGACCUGAGAGGGUGAUCGGCCACACUGGGACUGAGACACGGCCCAGACUCCUACGGGAGGCAGCAGUAGGGAAUCUUCCGCAAUGGACGAAAGUCUGACGGAGCAACGCCGCGUGAGUGAUGAAGGCUUUCGGGUCGUAAAACUCUGUUGUUAGGGAAGAACAAGUGCUAGUUGAAUAAGCUGGCACCUUGACGGUACCUAACCAGAAAGCCACGGCUAACUACGUGCCAGCCGCCGCAGUAA
This 515-nucleotide ribosomal RNA is filed under the name uncultured bacterium. RNAcentral describes it as "partial 16S ribosomal RNA". It matches the Rfam family "Bacterial small subunit ribosomal RNA", at positions 28 to 523 of the family's 1533-position model. The record is from RNAcentral.